This 545-nucleotide ribosomal RNA is filed under the name bacterium A4S_VP6_B6. RNAcentral describes it as "bacterial SSU rRNA". It matches the Rfam family "Bacterial small subunit ribosomal RNA", at positions 337 to 874 of the family's 1533-position model. The record is from RNAcentral.
UCAUACGGGAGGCAGCAGUGGGGAAUAUUGCACAAUGGGGGAAACCCUGAUGCAGCCAUGCCGCGUGUGUGAAGAAGGCCUUCGGGUUGUAAAGCACUUUCAGUUGUGAGGAAAAGUUAGUAGUUAAUACCUGCUAGCCGUGACGUUAACAACAGAAGAAGCACCGGCUAACUCCGUGCCAGCAGCCGCGGUAAUACGGAGGGUGCGAGCGUUAAUCGGAAUUACUGGGCGUAAAGCGCACGCAGGCGGUUUGUUAAGCUAGAUGUGAAAGCCCCGGGCUCAACCUGGGAUGGUCAUUUAGAACUGGCAGACUAGAGUCUUGGAGAGGGGAGUGGAAUUCCAGGUGUAGCGGUGAAAUGCGUAGAUAUCUGGAGGAACAUCAGUGGCGAAGGCGACUCCCUGGCCAAAGACUGACGCUCAUGUGCGAAAGUGUGGGUAGCGAACAGGAUUAGAUACCCUGGUAGUCCACACCGUAAACGCUGUCUACUAGCUGUGUGUGUCUUUAAGACGUGCGUAGCGAAGCUAACGCGCUAAAUAAACCGCCU